Molecule: long non-coding RNA, 275 nt
Organism: Vidua chalybeata
Lineage: Eukaryota; Metazoa; Chordata; Aves; Passeriformes; Viduidae
Exons: 3
Source: RefSeq, a predicted model, not a curated record
GGCAGUUCCUAACACAGAAAUAUAUUGUGGCUGGAUAAAAGAAGACAAAUACAUCUAGUCCUAAGGAAGUGUUAGGCACAUGGAAGGCAAUUGAGCUGUGUUGGAGAUACCACUGAUUCCGGUACAGAGGGAUGUAUAAGUGUAGACAACAUGGAGUUUAACUUAAAGCAUGAAUCAACAAGCAGAUGUGCUGAAAUAGAGAAAAAAGUAUUUGCUGAAAUUCAACCAGAUGGAGAGUGACUGUGCUGGUUUGAAGGAGCAGCUUUUAUACUAAG